Asparagus officinalis (garden asparagus) is the source of this 690-nucleotide RNA transcript. RefSeq lists it as uncharacterized. Lineage: Eukaryota; Viridiplantae; Streptophyta; Magnoliopsida; Asparagales; Asparagaceae. The transcript has 5 exons. The record is from RefSeq and is a predicted model, not a curated record.
GCCACCCUCUCUCUCUCUCUCUCUGUUUUUUUUUAACUUAUUAGUGUUUCUGCCUUACAAGUAUCAAUUCUGAUCAACAGCUUAGUUUGAUUCAAUGAUCUGAAAUGCUAUAUGAAAACCCUAAAGCAAAUAAAGCUGAACUCAGAGCCUCUCAAGUACUUGAAUAUUUUCCAAUUCGGCAUCGACCAAAGCCCCGAAAACUCAAAUCUUUUUUGCUACUCGCUAGUUCCUCCUUCCAUUGCGCACAAAUAGAAACAGAAUGUCAGCGGCAAGCGGCGGCUGCCGAAUUGAGGAGGGUCUCAAAGUGUAGAGCUCAUUGUAUUCGGUCAUUUCUACUGAUUACAGGGUUUCAGAAAUUUGGUUGGCUAAUUCAGGUACGUAUUUCAUAAAUUUAUGAAUAAUCAGGUUAUUACAGGUCUUGUUUAUUUUUUUCUUGGAAAACAGGUUUUGUGUGAUUAUUUUCAUCUCAAACAGCAUUCCUGGCUAUUAUGAGGCAUUCUGGAAGGAGAUGGAUGAUGUUAAACAAAUCUGGAAGAACAGAAAGCAAAUCUGGAAGAACAGAAAGGAACUCAAAUAGAUUAAUAAUCAUGUAUCGAUGAAUUACAUUCUUUCCUAGAAGUGUCAUAGCCAUUGUAAAUAAUUUAUGUAAACGUUUAUAAAUAAUGUAUGUAUCUCUACUAUUUUGGUGAA